Gossypium hirsutum (cotton) is the source of this 107-nucleotide non-coding RNA. The record is from Rfam. Lineage: Eukaryota; Viridiplantae; Streptophyta; Magnoliopsida; Malvales; Malvaceae.
AUCCCAUGAUAAGGACACUUACGCAGUAAUUCCUUGAAUCACUCCUAAGCUUCAUUCAACGACUCUUCAUCCAAUUGUUGGAAAGUUGUAAUCUCGUUCCUCAACGU